GCAGGCUUAACACAUGCAAGUCGAACGCCCCGCAAGGGGAGUGGCAGACGGGUGAGUAACGCGUGGGAACAUACCCUUUGGUUCGGAACAACUCGGGGAAACUCGAGCUAAUACCGGAUAAGCCCUACGGGGGAAAGAUUUAUCGCCGAAGGAUUGGCCCGCGUCUGAUUAGCUAGUUGGUGAGGUAACGGCUCACCAAGGCGACGAUCAGUAGCUGGUCUGAGAGGAUGAUCAGCCACAUUGGGACUGAGACACGGCCCAAACUCCUACGGGAGGCAGCAGUGGGGAAUAUUGGACAAUGGGCGCAAGCCUGAUCCAGCCAUGCCGCGUGAGUGAUGAAGGCCUUAGGGUUGUAAAGCUCUUUUACCCGGGAAGAUAAUGACUGUACCGGGAGAAUAAGCCCCGGCUAACUUCGUGCCAGCAGCCGCGGUAAUACGAAGGGGGCUAGCGUUGUUCGGAUUUACUGGGCGUAAAGCGCACGUAGGCGGACUUUUAAGUCAGGGGUGAAAUCCCAGAGCUCAACUCCGGAACUGCCUUUGAUACUGGAAGUCUUGAGUAUGGAGGAGGUUGGUGGAACUGCGAGUGUAGAGGUGAAAUUCGUAGAUAUUCGCAAGAACACCAGUGGCGAAGGCGGCCAACUGGUCCAUUACUGACGCUGAGGUGCGAAAGCGUGGGGAGCAAACAGGAUUAGAUACCCUGGUAGUCCACGCCGUAAACGAUGGAUGCUAGCCGUUGGACAGCAUGCUGUUCAGUGGCGCAGGUAACCCCUUUAAGCAUCCCGCCUGCGGAGUACGGUCGCAAGAUU
This 805-nucleotide ribosomal RNA is filed under the name uncultured bacterium. Its description in RNAcentral is "bacterial SSU rRNA". It matches the Rfam family "Bacterial small subunit ribosomal RNA", at positions 42 to 895 of the family's 1533-position model. The record is from RNAcentral.